GAUGAACGCUGGCGGCGUGCCUAACACAUGCAAGUCGAGCGAACAGACCAUGAGCUUGUUCCUCUCACUUGACCGGCGGACGGGCGAGUAACACGAGGAUAACCUCCCUAUUCGACUGGGAUAACGACGAGAAACCGGAGCUAAUACUGGUUAAUAUAUGGCAUCGCUGGGUGCAUUAGUGAAAGACGGAUUUGCUAUCAGUAAUAGAUGGAUCUGCGCCGCAUUAGCUAGUUGGUAAGGCAACGGCCCACCAAGGCAACGAUCCGUAGCCGACCUGAGAGGGUGGUCGGCCACACUGGAUCUGAGCCGCGGUCCAGACUACUACGGGAGGCAACGGUAGAGAGUCUUCCGCUAUGGGCGGAAGGCUGACGGGACACCGCCGCGUGAGUUAUGAGGGUCUUGCGAUCUUGGAACUCUGUUAUUAGGGAAGAGCGAAUGUGUAAGGAACUAUGCACGUCUUGACGGUACCAUAUCAGAAAGCCACGGCUAACUACGUG
Molecule: ribosomal RNA, 497 nt
Filed under: uncultured bacterium
Lineage: Bacteria
Description: partial 16S ribosomal RNA
Rfam family: Bacterial small subunit ribosomal RNA
Source: RNAcentral